Long non-coding RNA from Acanthopagrus latus (yellowfin seabream), 4799 nucleotides. RefSeq lists it as uncharacterized. The record is from RefSeq and is a predicted model, not a curated record. The transcript has 8 exons. Lineage: Eukaryota; Metazoa; Chordata; Actinopteri; Spariformes; Sparidae.
GCUCCCGCGUCUUAACGUAGCAUCGUUAGCUUUAACGUAAGUAGCUGUUUGUGUAGUUUAAUACACUUUAGCUACUUUAAUACCCACAGAGUGUCUCAAUUAGAUUUGUAUAAAUGAAGCUAACACUUGUUAGUCGUUGUUUCAUUUCCAGUGCUGGCUACAUAGCUAGCUGUGCCUUUCACUUGGUAUUUCAUCCCCAAUAUAAAGUGUCAUAUCAUCUCAUGUUAGCUAACUGUGGAGCUCUGGCUGUGCUGUGAGACAGAGCGAAGCCUCGUUUUGACAUGACUCUGUGUGAUGUCUGGGGUGAAGAUCAUGGCUGACAGGGAGGAAAGCCCAGGAGAGGUCAGCUUUUAAAGCGCACACGAAUGAGGCAGGCUGUAAGUGUUCUGUAAAAAAAUGAAAAUAAGAAUAUCUUCAUUUCCAUGACAACGGGACACUCAACAUAUUCUGAUGACGAUCAUGUGAUGUGGACCACCAAAUGGAACGUCAGGGGAGAUAUUUUUCUUUCCAAGCAGGUUGAACUGUGGCAGUGAGAUGAGGAGUGAAUAGGAAAGGAGAAAGAAACUGGAGUGCAACUGAGUCUUCAGCUGUUCUCGAGAUUCUUCAGCUCUAAAACAAUCUCGCAGACUACAGGAGAUGUUUUAUCGCUCCGCUCUCGUCUCACUGGAGAGGCGGCAUCAAGGCCGGGCGUGCAAUCAGGAUUAACAGACUGUUUAAAAGGUUGGCUCUGUUGUGGGUCUACGCCUGGACACCCUGGAGGCAGCGUCAGUGAAUGAGCACUAAUCUGAACUCUAUCUGAGACAACAACCCUCAUCACCUGCAUAUUGAGCUGAUUCAGCUGCACAGCAUCCUCAGUUUCUGCUCCAGCUCCUGCGGUUCAGCAGCUUCAGGAGCCGUUUAGUCACCAUCACAGUACACGAGGCUCCGUCUGCAGCAGAUGAAAUCACAAACUCUGCAGUACCAGGAAGGAAACCAGACACGUGAUAAAAACACUGAAGCACCUUUGGGUCGUCUAACAGUUUUUCUGGACGUCGGUGGGAGAAGGCCUCAGAUCAGAGGAUGUGAACUGCCAUGUGUGAACUGUUCAGUGGGUGAUCCAGAGUUCGCUGAUGCUGAUGGAUAUCCAACAGACUGAACAUCCGCCAGGUCGUGGAGCCAUGAAUGAGAGAUGAGUUCCUCCACCAGGCUCUCAGCAAAGAGGAAACGUAAACACAGUCGACCUGGACGGUCUGAUGAGGACGAGUUGUUCAGGUUGUUCACUCUUUGCUAGUGUUAGUAGAAGACCACUGGAUUAAAACACCAGAUUCUGUUGCAGUAAACAUGACGGGAAAACGUUUGCCUGUAUCCUUAAAAAUAUCCAGCGGCUUCAUGCUAGUAAAUGUUGAAACACAGUCUUGAACGGUGGUCUCUGGCUUGGCAGCUUUGUCUCCCAGCCGUCACAUCACGGUCACUCCCUCCAUCUCCUGACAGGAACGUCAGCUCAGAGACAAGAAAUGUGCAGUUAUAUUACACGUACUGUGGAAACGUUGAUAGAAACAAACACAAGUGAAAACAGUUCCUGUAUUCAGAUACUUUGAAGGAAGUCCGAAAUGUGAAUCAUCAGCAGCAUAUAGAAAGGUAACUAAGUACACAGUAUAAUGUAGAUCCAGUGUUAGUACAGCUCACAUGCAGGAGGACGGGAGGAACGAGGAGAGUGAGAGGUGAGAUCGGAGGCGGAGAGGGAGGUAAGAUAAAGGACGAGAUGAAGAAAAACUGUGUCGGAAAGAAAGACUGGAGGCAACAGAACAAAGAGGAAACAAGAGACAAUCUGAAAAACAAGAAACACAUAAAGAAAGCGAAUGAUUUAAAACGACCAGGAGGGAUAUUUAUGUAAAAAUGAGAUUCACUUAAAAACCACAGAGACGACGUCGAGGCCGACGGGACGACUGAAGGUAAUCAGAGAGAAAAAUGCAAAAAGGUGAAGUUGACGCCGGAGGAAACAAACGAGGAGGUGGAGGAUUCUGAAUCGCUGAAACAAGAGGAGACGCCUUCAAUACACGGUGUUAAUAUUACAGUAAUUAUGUUGACAUGUUUAUUAAUUGCUGGUUGGAUGUUUCUGACAGACUCAGAUCUCAUUUCAAACAUGGUUUCAUGUUCAUAUCGACGUCUCCCUGCAGCUCAGCUGAGUUUUGAAGAAUCGGAGUUGAGUUUACGUCAAGUUCUCACAGUUCAUCCUGACGGGAGCACGAGUGUGCACCACAUCUCCUGUCAGUCCACGAGAUAAGUGCUGAAACGUUUCACUCACAACCUCAGCAGGAGCGAUCGGCUGGAAACCGUUAAUGUCUGUCGAAGAUGUUGUAGCAGUUCGUUCAGUAGAUGUUGAGAUAUUUCACUGAAUAAAUGUGAGCUUCAGCCUCCUGGUGGCGCCGAUGAGACAUCAUGACGAGGUCAGUCGUCUCGUCAGUGAAGAAACUAAUUGAAUGAUUGUUUGCAGGUGUUUGUUUCUCCCGUAACGUUCGAUUUCUCAGUAUGUUGAGUCACAGAUUGGCAGACAGGUAGAUGCCCUAAAAUGUAAAUGUCAAACCGUCUGGGGGGAAACAUGGCCGCAGCCGAUAGAGUGUAUCACUUUGGCAGCAGGUUUUCUAUCCUCUGGUGGCAGGGAAAUACAUUUGGAUUCAAAUUUAUGAGAGUGAGAGGAGGAGAACGAAGCAGGAUUGAGACAAAUAGAUUUAUAGACGUAGCAGAGACGUUCAGCAAAUGUGUGAUUCAGCCCAUGCUGACAUUCAAACACUGAGAAAUGAGAGCUACAGAAGUAGAGGUGAGGGCCGCGUGAUGAGCACGAGCAGGGAAACAUGUCGAGAGCUCCGUAACUUAAUGAAACAAUUUGUGUGAUUCUGUGAAGCGAGUCUUAUCCUCCGGGUUGUGUUUUCUGUCAGCCCGUCGUUACAUUAGCACUGCUGUCUUUACAUAUUUAGCAUCCAGCACCCUCAGCAGGAUGUGAAGUGGUGAGAGCGAGCGAGUGAUUCAUACUUGAAAGAGCCGAGAUCAUCAAAGUUUUCUUCUUUUUUUUUUAUACAGUCUUACGUUGCCUGCAGGCAUCUGCAGGUGUGUGAGAACUGUCGAGAUCUGCCGUGAUGUGAAUCCUCUGUGAAUCUGACACAACUGUAAGUGAUGAAGAAGGAGUUCAGGAGCAGUUCUGUGCUCUGGUUCACUGUAGAGAAAGAAGACUCAUCGUCUCAGCUGUGCUGAGAGGAUGUGACGACUUUCUGUUUCUUACAGCUUAUUUUCACUUCACACAGUAUCAGCGUAUUGGUGCCGCUGAACGCAGGACAUGAGAGAAGGAUGUUUGGAGCAGGUGAGAUUUAUUCAGCACCGUCCUGUCACAGUCAAGCUUUAGGGCACAAAUGACAGAAAUCAACAGAGGUGUGUGUUCACCUCUGUUCUGUGUGAGCAAAGGGGCAAAUGAAACAUUUGCAUUAUUUGUGUUGCUGGUGAACUUUCACCUGUGAAGUCCGUGACUGUGUUUGACCCCUCAGACGAGCUGCAGCUCAUAUCCUGCUCUGCCCACUUUAUACACCGCCAGGCAACAUUCACCUGCAUGUGCAUACGUGUCACUGUGUGUUUAAGCAGUGUUAGUCCUGACACACAUGAUUUCAUCUUGUUUGUCCGAGGGAGCCCAGAGUAGAGCUGCUGCUCCUCAGGCUGAGGGCUGAUUAUGCGUCCUGGCUGCCUCCAUUUGGAGGGUUUCGGGGUUCUGCUACCUGGGAGGAGACCCGGGCGGAGCCAGAAGUCACUGGAGGGAUUUCACCUCUCAUCUGGCCUGGGAACGCCUCCAGAUCCCGGAGGAGCAGCCGGGAUGUAUCGCUGAAGAGAGAGAUGUCUGGAAUACCCAAGUGACCACGACCCGACCCGACCCGACCCGACCCGACCCGGUUCAGCAGAAGAAGAUGAGGGAUUCACUUUAUACAAGGAACAAACAGACAGAACAAACAUGGCAGCUCACCUGUUUCACUCCUGUUGUAUGUUACCUGUAAAGUUUCUUGAUUGCAUCUUGCACAGCGGUGACUUGAUCACACCGACAGCAUCUAUCCAGCAUCUAAACACUCCUGUGGUCGCUCCUCCUGCACUUCAAGAGGCUCAUCCAGCUGCUCAGCAUGAGGAGCCGUUUGGAGCACAGAUCAGUCAGCAGAGCCGAGUCGUGAAGGCUUGUGAUCCGGAUGACGUGGCAGAAUUUGUUCCGAGUGUUCAGCGCGCUCGUCAGGACUCUGACCUCAGCACCGACCUCAGCAGAGGGAGGACAUGGAGUCGGUGUCUCUGCUGUGGUAUGAUCGACUCCAUCACACCUCUGCUUGUCCUCAGCCGUUGUGUGGAGGAGUUUAAUAGACGUGAUGUCUCUGCUCUCGCUGGUCAGUCUGACAGCUGUGGAGUAACUUCUCGAUUCCACCGAGCACGAAACUGUAAGCUGCCGUGUGCGACUUGUUGUUGACCUGAUGCUGCUGACUUGUUCAGAUGUGUUCAUCAGUCGUUCCUUGAUUUUGUGCUUCUGCUGUGGUUGACCAGCUUACAUAGUUCCAUCUUUUUUUUCUGUUUUUAGUGUGUUAGUUAGUUAAUAUUUCCAGUUUUGUUCUGCUGUGGAGUCUGACGUGGCACGUUGUUUUAAUUUGAGCCGCCUGACUUCCUGUUAAAGCAAAGCUCCCUCCAAAAUGCAACCAAGGCUUUUUUUGUGAAUGGACCCGAAUCAAACUGUCCUCCAGGUUACGUCUCAUUCUGAGGUCGACUCUUCUCCACUGGCAGGACGGCGGCGAGCGGAACAAGCUGCU